Molecule: ribosomal RNA, 19 nt
Filed under: Bolbitius vitellinus
Lineage: Eukaryota; Fungi; Basidiomycota; Agaricomycetes; Agaricales; Bolbitiaceae
Description: partial 18S ribosomal RNA
Source: RNAcentral
ACCUGCGGAAGGGAUCAUA